This 885-nucleotide long non-coding RNA is filed under the name Homo sapiens (human). RNAcentral describes it as "HSALNT0198683". Lineage: Eukaryota; Metazoa; Chordata; Mammalia; Primates; Hominidae. The record is from RNAcentral.
GUUAGAAAUUGUCUGCCAGGCUUCUGGAGGCACCUGGGCCGUGUGGGUUCACAGUGGUCAUUCAGGGAAUGGAUGGACAUGCUCCUGCAGUGCUCGGCCAAGCUCAGCCCUUGUUCAGCACACCAGCCCUGUGAGUCACACUGUCCCUGGAGGGACUGAGGAAUGUCCAGGGGUUGGUAGUGGCACAAAGGAUGGAGCCACUGAAACGCGGUGGGUGGACACAGGAAGAGGACGGCCGCACAGCGAGGCCACGCCUGGCCUGGCUCGGAGGAUGCGAGGAGGAUUCUCCAGCAGGCAGGCAUGGUCAGAGGGGCCACUGGGUAGCCAGAUAGAGUCCCUGUGCCGACCCCAUAGUCCACGGGGAGGAGCAGAGAGGCGGGUGAGGCCUGGGGAGAUGACAUCACAUGGCUGGGGCUACUCAGUGGUGAAGGAAGAGACAAAGCGGGACACUGCUCUGGCUACUGGGGGGAGCAGUGGUCCUUCCCACCUCUUGUGCCAGGUACAGCACUGGGGCCUGGGACCAGGACGAGCCUCAGAACACGGCUGGUGAGCACACCCACCUCCACCUGCACCCAUCCCCGCUCCCCACACACACCACACACACACUCAUCACACACACACUCAUCACACACACACCACACACACUCAUCACACACAUGCUCAUCACACACACCACACACACUCAUCACACACAUGCUCAUCACACACUCAUCACACACACACCACACACACUCAUCACACACAUGCUCAUCACACACACCACACACACUCAUCACACACAUGCUCAUCACACACACCACACACACUCAUCACACACGCUCAUCACACACACUCAUCACACACACCACACACUCAUCACACACGCUCAUCAUACACACUCAUCAC